RNAcentral lists this ribosomal RNA (468 nucleotides) under uncultured bacterium. RNAcentral's name for it is "partial 16S ribosomal RNA". It matches the Rfam family "Bacterial small subunit ribosomal RNA", at positions 28 to 507 of the family's 1533-position model. The record is from RNAcentral.
GACGAACGCUGGCGGCGUGCUUAACACAUGCAAGUCGAACGGAAAGGCCCUGCUUUUGUGGGGUGCUCGAGUGGCGAACGGGUGAGUAACACGUGAGUAACCUGCCCUUGACUUUGGGAUAACUUCAGGAAACUGGGGCUAAUACCGGAUAGGAGCUCCUGCUGCAUGGUGGGGGUUGGAAAGUUUCGGCGGUUGGGGAUGGACUCGCGGCUUAUCAGCUUGUUGGUGGGGUAGUGGCUUACCAAGGCUUUGACGGGUAGCCGGCCUGAGAGGGUGACCGGCCACAUUGGGACUGAGAUACGGCCCAGACUCCUACGGCAGGCAGAAGUGGGGAAUAUUGCACAAUGGGCGGAAGCCUGAUGCAGCAACGCCGCGUGCGGGAUGACGGCCGUCGGGUUGUAAACCGCUUUCGCCUGUGACGAAGCGUGAGUGACGGUAAUGGGUAAAGAAGCACCGGCUAACUACGUG